UAUCACUAUGGGUUUCCUAAUGCACUCAACCAGUUCUCUUCUGGGAAAAUAUCUGAUGGCAGAAACUUCCUCUCCCUGACAACCAGAGAGUGGAGGCUGACACGGUUCCACUGGAGGCAGGUUGAAUAAAAAUUGGCCUCGGUGCCUUUAAGUCCCCCUGAUUACAGACAGAUGCUUUUUAUCCUUUGCAGUUUGGUCUGGCUUAGUAAAGCUAUUAAUCAUUAAAGGAAGGGUCCAUGCUACUUUCACAGUAGAAGGUGCAGCUUGGGCUAGAAUCUUCCUUCCAUCAUCUCCAGUGAUGAAGUUUCCAGAUUGAAGCAAUGGAAAUAUCAGUGGUGUGGCAUUCCUGGAGUUCAUUCUCUUGGCUCCCCAGGGAAAGCUAGACUUGGUUUCGGGUUAUUGCAGCAUAAAGUUUCUCACUCAGCAGGAAAAUCCACCAGAGACUCAGGCCAGCGACUGUAUUGCUGUGAAUAUAAAAGCACCAUGCAUAUAACAAUGAAAGGUUUUGUAUUAUGGGAAAAGUCCUGGAGCUUGAAGAAAGAACUUUUGUUAAUUUGCAGGUAAACCAUUCCCAGAACACUAACAGGAAAGAUGGGUCGGUUAAAAGGAGGAGAGCAAAACAAAGGAAUGAGGACUAGUGACACAGGAAAUCCUACCAUGGAAGGGAUUAACCUGGAAUUCAAGGGGGAAGGAAAAACACUUUCUCCUUAAACCCAAAGCAUCUUCAAGAUCCUGCUUUCAAUUCUUUGGGGUAUAUACCAGAAGUGGAAUUGCUGGAUUAUAUGGCAAGUCUAUGUCUAAUUUUUUCAGGAACUGCUAUACUAUUUUCCACAGUGGCUGUACCAUUUUACAUUCCCAUCAACAGCGUAUAAGGAUUCCAAUUCCAUCAUGCCCUUUCCAUACCUUGCUAUUUUCUGGGGUGUUUUGUUGUUUUUGGUGGUGAUGGUGGUUUUUGUUUUUUAUAGUAGCCACAAUAAAUGGGUAUGAGGUGGUAUCUCAUGGUGGUUUUGAUAUGCAUUUCACUAAUGAUUAGAUGAAGGGCAGGUUGUUUUUUUUAUUUAUUUAUUUAUUUGUUUUGGGAGAGAGAAAGAGCUAGCAAGGGAGGGGCAGAGAGAGAGGGAGAGACAGAAUCCCAAGCAGGCCCUGCACUGUCAGAGGAGAGCCCAACACAGGGCUCGAACCCACAAACUGUGCGAUGAUGACCUGAGCCAAAAUCAAGAGUUGGAUGCUUAACCGACUGACCCAACCAGGGGCCCCAAUGAACAUCUUUUUAAGUGCUUAUUGGUCAUUCACGUUUCUUCAAGAAACGUCUACUCAAGCCCUUUGUUCAUUUUUAUUUAGGCUGUUUGUUUUUUUUGUUGUUGAAUUAUAGGAGCUCUUUAUAUAUUCUAGAUAUUAAUCUAUCAGAUGAUUUGCAAAUAUUUUCUCCUUUUCUAUAGGUUGCCUUUUCACUUUGUUGGUACAUUCUUUGAUGCACAAAAGCUUUUAAUUUUUAUGGAGUCAAAUUUAUCAUUUUUGUUUUUGCUGCCUGUGUCUUUGGUGUCCUAUCCAAAAAAUCAUUGCCAAAUCCAAUAUCAUGAAGUUUUUGUCUUAUGUUUUCUUUGAAGGGUUUUAUCAUUUUAGCUCCUACAUUUAGAUCUUUGAUGCAUUUUGAGUUAAUUUUUGUGUAUGGUGUUAGGUAAGGGUCUACGAUACACUUUUAAAACAUUAUCUAAUUUAGUCCUCAUGACAACCCAGUAAGAUAGGUACUAUACAUAAUUCCCAUUGUAUAAACAUCACAAAGGGCAGUGAAGUCACUUGCCCAAGGAGGCACAGUGAGUGAGGAGACGGAACCAGAAUUCAGCCCUGCUCAUCUGAAUCCAGACCAAACUCCUCUAAUCACUUUACACCACUCUUUUGCGUAUUUUUCAUGCCUCUAUGUGCGUACCCAUCCCCCUCUGUCUGGAACUCCUUCUCUGGUCUGUGCCUGGUAACCUCACCCCUUGCAGCAGAUAUUGUAGGUUUUCCACCCGUACGCCUGGGCCCCUACCAGUUCAGUUCAUAGCACCCAGACUGCCAACUGCCAGCACCUGCAACUUUCCACCUGAGUGCUUUCAGCAGUUGCUGGUGGGUGCUCUGCACGCACACGUGAUGGGCCAGAAGUGCCAGCUAAUCUGUGCUCCCAGAAAAAACUCUCAGUCAAUGACCAUAGGAGUUGAUCAUCUCGUCCUAUUGUCCCUCGAAUACAGCUGUUCUCAGGCAUAGUCUACACAGUUUCCCUGUACCUCCUUGAAGGACAGAACCCUCUUUGCCCACAACUAUUCACUUGCUUGAAAACUCAUUUUUAUUGACUUCUUUCCUUUCCCUGUCUCACUUUCUCAUACCUCUGCUGGUAUUUCCCGGGAUUAUCACCUAAAACAAGUACCUGCCCUAAAAUCCUUGUUUCAGGGCAAGCUUCUGGGAGGAGCCUGACCUAACACAGUGUUCCUUCAAAGCCCUGCUGAAACUCCUCCUUCUCCGGGAAGCCUUCUCCACUGUCUUUCACAGCUGGCUGUUGCUGUCUCUGCCCGUGGCCUGGGGCACACUCCUUGAGGUCCAUGUGGCUCAAAUUGCCUUGCAGUGGUCAGUUUACACAUCGGGUGUAGGUUUUCUAUUGCUACUGUAAUGAAUUACCACACAGAGGCUUAAAACAACACCCAUCUCUUAUCUUACAGUUCUGUAGGUCAGAAGUCCAGGCAUAGUUCAGCUGGGUCCCCUGCUUAAAGGCUCACAAAGCUGCAGUCAUGGUGCUGGUGAGGCUUCGUUCCCUGCUGGAGAGCCUGGGAAUCAGUUGGCUUCCAAGCCCAUUCAAGUUGUUGGCCAAGUUCAGUUUCUCUUGGUUGUAGAACGGGGGUCUCAGUUUCCUUUCUGGUUGUCAGCCAAGAGCCAGUCUCUGCUUCUUUGAGAGACUUCCUGUGUUACUUACGCUUUCCACAUUCCCCUCCCCACCCCCACCCCCAGCCCAGGAAAGUAGGUCAAGUCUU
Molecule: long non-coding RNA, 3002 nt
Organism: Acinonyx jubatus (cheetah)
Lineage: Eukaryota; Metazoa; Chordata; Mammalia; Carnivora; Felidae
Exons: 3
Source: RefSeq, a predicted model, not a curated record